This 468-nucleotide ribosomal RNA is filed under the name uncultured bacterium. RNAcentral's name for it is "partial 16S ribosomal RNA". It matches the Rfam family "Bacterial small subunit ribosomal RNA", at positions 28 to 507 of the family's 1533-position model. The record is from RNAcentral.
GACGAACGCUGGCGGCGUGCUUAACACAUGCAAGUCGAACGGAAAGGCCCUGCUUUUGUGGGGUGCUCGAGUGGCGAACGGGUGAGUAACACGUGAGUAACCUGCCCUUGACUUUGGGAUAACUUCAGGAAACUGGGGCUAAUACCGGAUAGGAGCUCCUGCUGCAUGGUGGGGGUUGGAAAGUUUCGGCGGUUGGGGAUGGACUCGCGGCUUAUCAGCUUGUUGGUGGGGUAGUGGCUUACCAAGGCUUUGACGGGUAGCCGGCCUGAGAGGGUGACCGGGCAAAAUGGGAAUGAGGUAACGGCCAGACUCCUACGGGAGGCAGCAGUGGGGAAUAUUGCACAAUGGGCGGAAGCCUGAUGCAGCAACGCCGCGUGCGGGAUGACGGCCUUCGGGUUGUAAACCGCUUUCGCCUGUGACGAAGCGUGAGUGACGGUAAUGGGUAAAGAAGCACCGGCUAACUACGUG